GGAUGAUACAAGUGCAGCCACCAUUGAGA
Molecule: non-coding RNA, 29 nt
Filed under: Homo sapiens (human)
Lineage: Eukaryota; Metazoa; Chordata; Mammalia; Primates; Hominidae
Source: RNAcentral